GAUGAACGCUAGCGGCAGGCCUAACACAUGCAAGUCGAGGGGUAGCAGGAUUAAGCUUGCUUAAUUGCUGACGACCGGCGCACGGGUGCGUAACGCGUAUGCAACCUACCUUAUACUGGGGUAUAGCCCGGAGAAAUUCGGAUUAAUCCCCCAUAGUACUAAUGAAUCGCAUGGUUUAUUAGUUAAAGCAUUGCGGUAUAAGAUGGGCAUGCGUCCUAUUAGCUAGAUGGUGAGGUAACGGCUCACCAUGGCUACGAUAGGUAGGGGGCCUGAGAGGGGGGUCCCCCACACUGGUACUGAGACACGGACCAGACUCCUACGGGAGGCAGCAGUGAGUAAUAUUGGUCAAUGGGCGCAAGCCUGAACCAGCCAUGCCGCGUGCAGGAAGAAUGCCCUAUGGGUUGUAAACUGCUUUUAUUUGGGAAUAAACCUCUUUACGUGUAGAGAGCUGGAGGUACCAAAUGAAUAAGCACCGGCUAACUCCGUGCCAGCCGCCGCGGUAA
This 503-nucleotide ribosomal RNA is filed under the name uncultured bacterium. Its description in RNAcentral is "partial 16S ribosomal RNA". It matches the Rfam family "Bacterial small subunit ribosomal RNA", at positions 28 to 523 of the family's 1533-position model. The record is from RNAcentral.